RNAcentral lists this ribosomal RNA (254 nucleotides) under uncultured bacterium. RNAcentral describes it as "partial 16S ribosomal RNA". It matches the Rfam family "Bacterial small subunit ribosomal RNA", at positions 524 to 776 of the family's 1533-position model. The record is from RNAcentral.
UACGGAGGGUGCGAGCGUUGUCCGGAAUCAUUGGGCGUAAAGGGCGCGUAGGUGGCCCGGUCAGUUCGUGGUGAAAGCGCGGGGCUCAACCCUGCGUCGGCCAGGGAUACUGCCGCGGCUCGAGCACUGUAGAGGCAGGCGGAAUUCCGGGUGUAGCGGUGGAAUGCGUAGAGAUCCGGAAGAACACCGGUGGCGAAGGCGGCAUCCUGGACCGGUAUUGACGCUGAGGCGCGAAAGCUAGGGGAGCAAACGGG